Molecule: transfer RNA, 78 nt
Filed under: Lachnellula occidentalis
Lineage: Eukaryota; Fungi; Ascomycota; Leotiomycetes; Helotiales; Lachnaceae
Rfam family: tRNA
About the family: Transfer RNA (tRNA) molecules are approximately 80 nucleotides in length. Their secondary structure includes four short double-helical elements and three loops (D, anti-codon, and T loops).
Source: Rfam by way of RNAcentral
GGUCGCUUAGCUCAGUUGGUUAGAGCGUGGUGCUAAUAGGUAACGCCAAGGUCGCGAGUUCGACCCUCGUAGUGAUCA